This is a long non-coding RNA of Saccostrea cuccullata (small rock oyster), 595 nucleotides long. RefSeq lists it as uncharacterized. The record is from RefSeq and is a predicted model, not a curated record. NCBI's taxonomy places the organism in Eukaryota, Metazoa, Mollusca, Bivalvia, Ostreida, Ostreidae. The transcript has 4 exons.
GUGAACUUAGAUUUUCAGAAAAUGUAGGACUAUCUUUUGUUUUUCCUCUCUUUUUCUAUAAUGAUUUUCGUACUGUGAAGGUUUUUUUGUAUAAAGCUCAAUUUCUCUAUGACCACUGAAGUAAUCAUCCUGAUGCUUUCUUACCAUGUGAAUGUUGAGACCCUGUUCAUUUUUGAAAUAUCCUUUCUGACAGACCUAUUCCACAGGAUCAGCUGAGAUGUUAUUUCACUGGAUUAUUUAAUGGAUAGGCUUAUUGGGCAUAUAUAGUUGGAUAUCUCUGUCAUCAACAUGGCAGAUAUGUUUUGUUCCUAACCAUCUAUAAUCCAUUCUCUAUGAAGUUCAGACUGUCUGCUCUUCCUUUGGAAAUGCACAGUUAGUCAACCAACAAAGAAACAAACAAACUUGAAGGAUUCUCUAGUGAGUGCUUAUGGAAAUGAUUUUAGUCUACUCUUAGAAUUGUGAAAGACUAUCAGAUUAUGCAAAGACUAACAGAAUAUCCUCUCUUGGAACACUGAAACAAGAAAACCAAACUUAAAAGGAUGGAGGAUUUAAGAAGAACAUAGAUAAAUAUGAUUCCCAACGAAUUUAACUUGUA